GAAGGCAGAUCUCUGGGCCGUAACUGACGCUGAGGAGCGAAAGGGUGGGGAGCAAACAGGCUUAGAUACCCUGGUAGUCCACCCCGUAAACGUUGGGAACUAGUUGUGGGGUCCUUUCCACGGAUUCCGUGACGCAGCUAACGCAUUAAGUUCCCCGCCUGGGGAGUACGGCCGCAAGGCUAAAACUCAAAGGAAUUGACGGGGACCCGCACAAGCGGCGGAGCAUGCGGAUUAAUUCGAUGCAACGCGAAGAACCUUACCAAGGCUUGACAUACACCGGAACGCCGUAGAAAUACGGUUCUCUUUGGACACUGGUGUACAGGUGGUGCAUGGUUGUCGUCAGCUCGUGUCGUGAGAUGUUGGGUUAAGUCCCGCAACGAGCGCAACCCUCGUUCUAUGUUGCCAGCACGUUAUGGUGGGAACUCAUGGGAUACUGCCGGGGUCAACUCGGAGGAAGGUGGGGAUGACGUCAAAUCAUCAUGCCCCUUAUGUCUUGGGCUUCACGCAUGCUACAAUGGCCGGUACAAUGGGCGGCGAUACCGUAAGGUGGAGCGAAUCCCAAAAAGCCGGUCCCAGUUCGGAUUGAGGUCUGCAACUCGACCUCAUGAAGUCGGAGUCGCUAGUAAUCGCAGAUCAGCAACGCUGCGGUGAAUACGUUCCCGGGUCUUGUACACACCGCCCGUCAAGUCAUGAAAGUCGGUAACACCUGAAGCCG
This 715-nucleotide ribosomal RNA is filed under the name Microbacterium sp. DS_19S. Its description in RNAcentral is "bacterial SSU rRNA". It matches the Rfam family "Bacterial small subunit ribosomal RNA", at positions 717 to 1429 of the family's 1533-position model. Lineage: Bacteria; Bacillati; Actinomycetota; Actinomycetes; Micrococcales; Microbacteriaceae. The record is from RNAcentral.